This 71-nucleotide transfer RNA is filed under the name Marmota monax (woodchuck). Its description in RNAcentral is "tRNA.Ala". It matches the Rfam family "tRNA". From Rfam's summary of the family: Transfer RNA (tRNA) molecules are approximately 80 nucleotides in length. Lineage: Eukaryota; Metazoa; Chordata; Mammalia; Rodentia; Sciuridae. The record is from RNAcentral.
GGGGUUGUGGCUCAGAGGUAGAGCGCUUGCCUAGCACAUGCAAGGCUCUGGGUUCGAACCUCAGCACCACA